AGAGGAGUGGUAGAGCGGUUUAUUGCACCGGUCUUGAAAACCGGAGACUGUAACAGGUCCGGGGGUUCGAAUCCCUCCUCCUCUG
This 85-nucleotide transfer RNA is filed under the name Ohtaekwangia koreensis. RNAcentral describes it as "Bacteroidetes bacterium 3B-2 tRNA". It matches the Rfam family "tRNA". From Rfam's summary of the family: Transfer RNA (tRNA) molecules are approximately 80 nucleotides in length. Their secondary structure includes four short double-helical elements and three loops (D, anti-codon, and T loops). Further hydrogen bonds mediate the characteristic L-shaped molecular structure. tRNAs have two regions of fundamental functional importance: the anti-codon, which is responsible for specific mRNA codon recognition, and the 3' end, to which the tRNAs corresponding amino acid is attached (by aminoacyl-tRNA synthetases). tRNAs cope with the degeneracy of the genetic code in two manners: having more than one tRNA (with a specific anti-codon) for a particular amino acid; and 'wobble' base-pairing, i.e. permitting non-standard base-pairing at the 3rd anti-codon position. Lineage: Bacteria; Pseudomonadati; Bacteroidota; Cytophagia; Cytophagales; Fulvivirgaceae. The record is from Rfam by way of RNAcentral. RNAcentral also lists the same sequence under 2 other names.